RNAcentral lists this unclassified non-coding RNA (299 nucleotides) under plant metagenome. RNAcentral describes it as "partial contains 5.8S ribosomal RNA, internal transcribed spacer 2, and large subunit ribosomal RNA". The stretch from base 1 to 105 matches the Rfam family "5.8S ribosomal RNA", at positions 50 to 154 of the family's 154-position model. The record is from RNAcentral.
GAAAUGCGAUAAGUAAUGUGAAUUGCAGAAUUCAGUGAAUCAUCGAAUCUUUGAACGCACAUUGCGCCCCCUGGUAUUCCGGGGGGCAUGCCUGUUCGAGCGUCAUUUCACCACUCAAGCCUCGCUUGGUAUUGGGCGACGCGGUCCGCCGCGCGCCUCAAAUCGACCGGCUGGGUCUUUCGUCCCCUCAGCGUUGUGGAAACUAUUCGCUAAAGGGUGCCGCGGGAGGCCACGCCGUAAAACAACCCCAUUUCUAAGGUUGACCUCGGAUCGGGUAGGGAUACCCGCUGAACUUAAGC